RNAcentral lists this ribosomal RNA (485 nucleotides) under uncultured bacterium. RNAcentral describes it as "bacterial SSU rRNA". It matches the Rfam family "Bacterial small subunit ribosomal RNA", at positions 8 to 526 of the family's 1533-position model. The record is from RNAcentral.
AGAGUUUGAUCAUGGCUCAGAACGAACGUUGGCGGCAUGGAUGAGGCAUGCAAGUCGCGGGAAUGCCCAGCAAUGGGUGGAACCGGCGUAAGGGGCAGUAAGGCGUAGGUACCUACCCCGUGGUCCGGGAUAGCCCGCCGAGAGGCGGGGUAAUACCGGAUGACCUCGGGAGAGCAAAGCUCCAGCGCCACGGGCGGGGCCUACGUGAUAUUACCUAGUUGGCGGGGUAACGGCCCACCAAGGGGGAGAUGUCUAGCGGGUGUGAGAGCACGACCCGCGCCACUCGCACUGAGACACUGGCGAGACACCUACGGGUGGCUGCAGUCGAGGAUCUUCGGCAAUGGGGGCAACCCUGACCGAGCGAUGCCGCGUGGGCGACGAAGGCCUUCGGGUUGUAAAGCCCUGUCGAGGGGGAGAAAGCCGCAAGGCGGAUCCAUCCCUGGAGGAAGCUCGGGCUAAGUUCGUGCCAGCCGCCGCGGUAAUAC